This 924-nucleotide unclassified non-coding RNA is filed under the name Hevea brasiliensis (rubber tree). The record is from RNAcentral. Lineage: Eukaryota; Viridiplantae; Streptophyta; Magnoliopsida; Malpighiales; Euphorbiaceae.
AAAAAAAAAAAAAAAAAAACUCCGCCUAAAUUCAUGUCCUUCCUAAAAAUAACACUGUAGAAGUCCUAAACUUUUCCUAGUGACUUUGAGCGACUUCGAUUUUGGGUUCCACCAAGAGGCGAGGCUUUUUAGCCGGCAGUGGGCUCAUAACCUCAUCGUCACCGGAGAUAAAGAAAUCAGCGGCGAACUCCGGUAAGGCCGGGAGGUUAAGGUCAAAGCCACGGUGGCUCUGGCUGAGGCUCUGUGUGUUGGUUGACCCGACACCUUCAGAAGUUGAAGUCAUCCCGCUCUUUUCGGCCCCUCCUGCGCCGCCUUCAUAGUGACACCUCUUGUGUCCGCCCAAGGCUUGUCCAGUUGGGAAAGACUUGUGGCAGAUGGAGCACUCGUGAAGCUUACCGCUUCCGUUAGAUAUCGGGGCGUUGGCAAAGCUAGUUGUGGUACUUGAAGUUGAUUGGUCACCACGUCCUGCGAGUUUUCUGUGACUAGCCUUGUGUCCACCUAAGGCUUGGUAAGAAGAAAAGGCCUUGUUGCAGGCAGUACACUUAUAGGUAAGUUUCUCCUCUGAAUUCGUGGAAGCCUGAAGCUGAGGAGAUGGAGUUGGGGAGCUGUGGCGGUAAGAGACGGUGGAGGCAGAUGUUGAGGCGGUGGUACCGCGAGCAAGCAUAACAAGGCAGAGAGCGAGAUACUCUUCCUCGGUUGGUUGGUGCUGAGGACGCUUGGAGCGCUUGCGCUUGGCCCAUGGCUCACGAAGAUGGUGAAGACUGCCGGAAUCCUGAAAUUGGAAAGAUGGGGUUGCAGUGGUUGGAGAGUUGAGUGCUUCUAGAGCCAUUUGAAUGUUUUUGAACCUCUGUUAAUCGAUCUGAAGGUAGAAAAAGAGGGUGAAGACCUGGAGUUGUGCGCAGAGAAGAAAGGAGGAAAGAAUAG